UACGGAGGAUGCGAGCGUUAUCCGGAUUUAUUGGGUUUAAAGGGUGCGCAGGCGGCACGGCAAGCCGGCGGUCAAAUCGCGGGGCUCAACGCCGUCGAGCCGUUGAAACUGGCGUUCUUGAGUGGGCGAGAAGUAUGCGGAAUGCGUGGUGUAGCGGUGAAAGGCAUAGAUAUCACGCAGAACUCCGAUUGCGAAGGCAGCAUACCGGCGCCCUACUGACGCUGAGGCACGAAAGCGUGGGUAUCGAACAGG
Molecule: ribosomal RNA, 252 nt
Filed under: uncultured bacterium
Lineage: Bacteria
Description: partial 16S ribosomal RNA
Rfam family: Bacterial small subunit ribosomal RNA
Source: RNAcentral